RNAcentral lists this ribosomal RNA (253 nucleotides) under uncultured bacterium. RNAcentral's name for it is "partial 16S ribosomal RNA". It matches the Rfam family "Bacterial small subunit ribosomal RNA", at positions 524 to 776 of the family's 1533-position model. The record is from RNAcentral.
GACGGAGGAUGCAAGUGUUAUCCGGAAUCACUGGGCGUAAAGCGUCUGUAGGUGGUUUAAAAAGUCUGCUGUUAAAAAUUGAAGCUUAACUUCAAAGAUGCCGUAGAAACUUUUAAACUUGAGGAUGGUAGGGGUAGAGGGAAUUUCCAGUGGAGCGGUGAAAUGCGUAGAUCUUGGAAAGACCACCAAUGGCGAAGGCACUCUACUGGGCCAUGACUGACACUGAGAGACGAAAGCUAGGGGAGCAAAUGGG